This is a long non-coding RNA of Pecten maximus, 407 nucleotides long. RefSeq lists it as uncharacterized. The transcript is spliced from 2 exons. The record is from RefSeq and is a predicted model, not a curated record. Lineage: Eukaryota; Metazoa; Mollusca; Bivalvia; Pectinida; Pectinidae.
ACUAACUCAGAUAUUGGGGUACUGUUUGGUGGGACACUAACUCGACUAUUGGGGUACUGUUUGGUGGGACACUAACUCGACUAUUGGGGUACUGUUUGGUGGGACACUAACUCGACUAUUGGGGUACUGUUUGGUGGGACACUAACUCAGAUAUUGGGGUACUGUUUAGUGGGAAUCUAACCUGUUGGGAACUGCUACUGUCCUCUCGGGGUUAAAGGUCAUCCUGAUAUUAUUAUUUUGUACCUGAUAUUGUUAAUUGAUUAAUGUACAGAUGUCUGAUUUGAAUAUGUUAUACAUAUCUGAGCACAUUUACAUAUUGUACAAUAUUGUAGAUGGUCUCCUUUUCGUUAAUGUUACAGUGUGAUAUUAUGCAUUGCUGGUUAAAAAAUUAAAAAACAAAAAACAAA